UAACUGAUGAAAGAUCAGUCGCGGAAAUUGACUGUUUAGCCGUGUAGUUAUAUUCGACAUCGCUAUGAGGUGACGCAAGUGAUGAAAGUUAGAAAGUAAAAGUCCUUGCUGGAGAAGGGCAAGCAAUCCAUCGGGCUAUAGCAUAA
This is a non-coding RNA of Planctomycetes bacterium RIFCSPHIGHO2_12_42_15, 146 nucleotides long. The record is from Rfam. Lineage: Bacteria; Pseudomonadati; Planctomycetota.